RNAcentral lists this unclassified non-coding RNA (278 nucleotides) under uncultured fungus. RNAcentral's name for it is "sequence contains ITS1". Lineage: Eukaryota; Fungi. The record is from RNAcentral.
UUUUUUCAUUAAUUUUUGAUAGAGCGAGUGAGUAAACACAAGACUCUAAUUAAGGAAAAUUAAGAUCAGGUCAACAUUUGAAAUGUUAUUUAUAAAAAUGGGCAUCCGAAGACACCACAAGUUUAAUUAGUUACGUGGGACGCAAUAGUCGGAUCCGAGCCGAGGCUCUUCACUUUCCAUUGUUUUCUGACUGAGACACUAUCCCCACCGAAAUGGAGUAAUGAUCCCAGGCAAAAAGAGGUGUGGUAAUGAUCCUUCCGCAGGUUCACCUACGGAAA